This 451-nucleotide ribosomal RNA is filed under the name uncultured Nostoc sp. RNAcentral's name for it is "bacterial SSU rRNA". It matches the Rfam family "Bacterial small subunit ribosomal RNA", at positions 40 to 532 of the family's 1533-position model. The record is from RNAcentral. Lineage: Bacteria; Bacillati; Cyanobacteriota; Cyanophyceae; Nostocales; Nostocaceae.
CGGGUAUCCUUUACAAUUGCCAAGUCGAACGGUCACUUCGGUGAUAGUGGCGGACGGGUGAGUAACGCGUGACAAUCUGGCUUCAGGUCUGGGACAACAGUUGGAAACGACUGCUAAUACCGGAUGUGCCGAAAGGUGAAAGGCUUGCUGCCUGAAGAUGAGCUCGCGUCUGAUUAGCUAGUAGGUGUGGUAAGAGCGCACCUAGGCGACGAUCAGUAGCUGGUCUGAGAGGAUGAUCAGCCACACUGGGACUGAGACACGGCCCAGACUCCUACGGGAGGCAGCAGUGGGGAAUUUUCCGCAAUGGGCGAAAGCCUGACGGAGCAAUACCGCGUGAGGGAGGAAGGCUCUUGGGUUGUAAACCUCUUUUCUCAAGGAAUAAGUACUGAAGGUACUUGAGGAAUCAGCAUCGGCUAACUCCGUGCCAGCAGCCGCGGUAAUAAUCGUAUCU